This 329-nucleotide ribosomal RNA is filed under the name uncultured bacterium. RNAcentral describes it as "bacterial SSU rRNA". It matches the Rfam family "Bacterial small subunit ribosomal RNA", at positions 1048 to 1388 of the family's 1533-position model. The record is from RNAcentral.
ACUGAUGCCACGCUUCCAGGAAAAGCCUCUAAGCUUCAGAUCAUGUGCGACCUUAGUUGCCAGCAUUUAGUUGGGCACUCUAAGGUGACUGCCGGUGAUAAACCGGAGGAAGGUGGGGACGACGUCAAAUCAUCAUGCCCCUUAUGUCUUGGGCUUCACGCAUGCUACAAUGGCCGGUACAAUGGGUUGCGAUACUGUGAGGUGGAGCUAAUCCCUAAAAGCCGGUCUCAGUUCGGAUCGAAGUCUGCAACUCGACUUCGUGAAGUUGGAGUCGCUAGUAAUCGCAGAUCAGCAACGCUGCGGUGAAUACGUUCCCGGGCCUUGUACAC